This 2023-nucleotide long non-coding RNA is filed under the name Homo sapiens (human). RNAcentral describes it as "HSALNT0343949". Lineage: Eukaryota; Metazoa; Chordata; Mammalia; Primates; Hominidae. The record is from RNAcentral.
UAAAUCCACAGUGAGAGAAAACAGUCCCAGUAGUUAUCAGGGACUGGAGAGAGGGAAGAAUGAGAAGUGACUACUUCAUGGAUACAAGGUUUUCUCUGGGGGUGAUGAAAAUAUUUUGACAUCUGAUAAAGGUGGUGGUAGUACAGCACUGUGAAUGUACCAAUUGCCACUGAAUUGUGCAUUUUAAAGUGAUUGAUUUUAUGUGGAACAAAUUUCACUUUAAUUAUAAAAAGUGAAUAAACUUUUAGAAGCUAACCUUGGAAGAAGGUAGAGACUGGAAGGGAUCACAAGAAAGGCUUCUGGGAUGUUGACCGUGCAGCAUAACUGUCUGACAUUGGCAUGCCAUUUGUAAACUGUCAAAGUGAUGGUUGGGAGUGUAGCAGUGAGGACAACCAGAGGUCACUCUCAUCACCAUCUUGGUUUGGGUUGAUUUCUCUAAGAAGUACAUGCUGAAAUGAAGAUAAGAGUACAAAAUAUUUAUCGGAGAGUAGUAACACAGAGGAGACACAGGAUUUGGCAGAAACACUAAACCAUGGUGAAGACCGGCUAAAGUCUCUUUGUCCAAAGGGGAGCUCUAAAGUAAAUAUGAGCCAUUAAGGGAGCCCCACACUGGAUGGAAAUGGCCAAGCCUUUUUACAACCACCUUCUCCUUGAGACACUGCCUGCAAUUCACCCUGGGAAAGCAAAACCUCAACUGUUUCUGCCUCAUUCAUUCUUUGUCAGUGCCGUAAGAAGAUUGAGAUUUCAGCUUGUAACUGUUGAAGCAAAACCUAAAGUGGUUAAUAAUGGGAGUUUGUCACAACUAUCUUAACACAAAUAUAAAAUAUUUGCAUGAACUGUAAUAACCUUUUAUUUAUAAAUUAAAAACUUAUUGAUAAAAUACAGAUUUCAAUAACAUUAGUAAAAAAUCUUUUCACUUUUCUUAAGUAAUUCAGAAUAGAUCAUCUUUCAUUUUAGUUCCUACACUUGAUCCUUAGAAGAAAAAGAAACCUAUUUUUUUUAUAAUGCAAACACUUUAGUUUAACAUAAACAAGAAAAAGGGAAGACUGGCUGAGAAAAAAAAACUCUAAAAACCAUCUAGCAUAUUCAAAAGAUAAUUCAUGCCUUUGAGAUCAUUUAAGCAGUACAUCACCUUUAGUUAUAAAGAGAAAUGUGAAACUAUUUUUACAAUUAAUUACAUCUAUCAGCAGGAAAUAAAAUGUAUUCAAAAUUGACCUGUAUAUGAGUGAUGGUUGUAACAGAGUUAUUGAUUUUUCCUGUUGGGAAAUGCCAUCCAAAACUGGCAUGAUCUUUUCAAGUAAACUCAAAAUCCGAACAAUGUCUUCAAAAGUAGGCAUGUUGUUAACAAUGGUCCCUGCUGUUUUCUAUGAAUGGGCAGUAAUAUUCUCUAUAACAUUAGCCCUUGGAAAUUAAAAUGUCCUUUGUUGAAAACAGAGAAAUCUGUCAAAAUGCUAUGUUUUUUUAUAAGGAACACUGCUAAUCCUAUAAAACGGCUUCUUCCUCUCACCUAAUCACUACAAUUAUGCCUCUAAACUAACAGAAAGAUACCAAAUCUAAUCUCUGACAAAGUAUCACAGUGACUAAAAAGGGAAUUAAUGUACUUGCAAGGGAGUAGAGAGAAUAUACUGUAUUUUGGACAUUGCGCAUGCUAAAUUCUGUCUUAAAGUAAUUUAAGAAAUAAAAUUUAUGAAAAUUCUUCUGGGAAUAAAUAUUACACAGUAGCCUUCAAAGAGAAAUUCCUUGCUGUGAGUCAUAGGCAUAUGCAAAGGACUAUUUGAAACUGCCUUAAAUGAAUCUUAUUUAGGGAAAAUUACAGACUAGAAGAAAAUACGAGUUCAGAAUUUGGACGAAGCUUGGAGAACAAAUAUUUGUAUAUAAACAGAGGUUCAAAUAAUUGCAAAUCAGUUAUCUCUAGGAAUUGUGAAAACUACUCUGAGGAAAAGAGUGCUGGCUUGGGUACUAAGCUCUGCAGUUUUUCCUUGCUCUAUUUGUAUUUGUUCAUGCCAAAAUCACACUGUCUAAG